Molecule: ribosomal RNA, 189 nt
Filed under: uncultured Staphylococcus sp.
Lineage: Bacteria; Bacillati; Bacillota; Bacilli; Caryophanales; Staphylococcaceae
Description: partial 16S ribosomal RNA
Rfam family: Bacterial small subunit ribosomal RNA
Source: RNAcentral
CCUACGGGAGGCAGCAGUAGGGAAUCUUCCGCAAUGGGCGAAAGCCUGACGGAGCAACGCCGCGUGAGUGAUGAAGGUCUUCGGAUCGUAAAACUCUGUUAUUAGGGAAGAACAAACGUGUAAGUAACUGUGCACGUCUUGACGGUACCUAAUCAGAAAGCCACGGCUAACUCCGUGCCAGCAGCCGCG